Molecule: long non-coding RNA, 2508 nt
Organism: Stegodyphus dumicola
Lineage: Eukaryota; Metazoa; Arthropoda; Arachnida; Araneae; Eresidae
Source: RefSeq, a predicted model, not a curated record
AUGUAUUCCUACUCGCGUAUUUGCACCUCAUGUUGAAAGUGGACAAAGUAUUUCUAUGGAGUUUCUCAGGAGGUUGGAUUUAUGGCGCCCAGAAUAUCGUCGCUGUAUUGUUUGGUAAUAAUAGCGUUACUGAUUAGCUGCAGAGAAGUAUACAGCUAUGAAAUAGUUGAAAGGGUCUUCUUACGAUCACUUCAUUGAAAAGGCAACUCAGUAGAAAGGUGGUGCAUGUGCAGAUGUCAUCAGCCUUAGACGUCAGAGAGUACAUCAGGGGACGCAAAAUGCGAGGAGUCAGCGCGCGCAGUGCAACUUAAAAAGAAGAAAGGAAGAUGCAUUUCCAAGUAUUCUUCUGCAAGUAAAAGUGAGAUUGUGCGUGUGAUUAUGGCUGCAAGAAAACAUCAUGUCUUAGACGUCUUAGAUAUGGUGGAAUGAUUGGCAAGUUUUAGUGCAGGUGUAGUUUAUCAUCUAUCGCCCAAGAGUUCGGAACUGAUAAAAGUAAUAUUUCAUGAGCUUUGAAAAUCUUCCAAAACGACAGGUACAGCUGUAAGAAAGGUUAGUGGUGCUCCGCCAUAGAAAACAAUGGUGACUGAUCACUGAUAUAUUGCCCUGCAGGUGAAAAGAGAUCGAAACCAGACAGUGGGCAACAGGAAAGCGGGUGUCUCGUUGUAAUGUGGCCAAACAGCCUAGUUACCCCGCCGUCUUAAAUGCUGCUUAUCUUUGCUAGCAGCCCAUCGACACCACAGUUUAAAGUGGUGUAGAGAACACAGAGACUGGACACCUCACCAAUGAAAUCACGUUUUCUUUACCGAUAAGAGUCAUUUCCAUCUGACAAACGAUUCUCGGUGCCACAUGAUAUGGAGAGAGGUAGGGACACUCUUUCCUCUUGAUAUAAAAAAAGAGACCAUUGGGGUGGUUCUGGCAUGCUUGUAUGAUGAGGCAUUCUUAUGAAUGGUACUAGACAUGGUUAUUAUGAAGUAUCCUUCCCUACUGGAGUCUUUUCCGAUGUGCUGUUGGUCCCGACUUUGUUUUUGUGGGUUACAUAUGCACGGAAUGGAUUGGCCAUCGCGCACCCCUGAUUUAAAUUUCAUUGGACAUGUGUGGGAUACUUUAGGAAGACGCCUGGCCUCUGGAGAACACUAGACAACAAACAAAUGCUCCUUGGAAGAACCCUGAACUCCAAGAACUGGUAGAUAAUCUGGUGUUUAGUAUCAACAAACAGUGCAGCGCACUCAUUGCACUUAGAGGAGGUCAUAUCCCUAAUUAAGGCUCUUUGGCUUGUCGUUCUUCCUCUUGGCCAGACAGUUUUUUGUACCAAUGCUAAUUUUGUCAAUAAAGCCAUUUUCUAUUCGUUUCAUACUAUAUGCGUCCUGUUUAUUUCUUUGCUACUAGACUUUCCUCAGCCGUACUUGUACUAUCCUCAUACUUACGUUGUGCCGGUGUACUGCGAAUUUCAUGUCUCCCAGCUGAUUUUUGGCGGAAUAGCGGCACAUAUCAGAAAAGUUGCUUAUAUAUUGUAUAGUAAUAUCGUAAAUAUAUUAUAUAUAGAUAGAUAGAUUUGCAGUGGACCGAAUCGAAUUUUCAGGCAGGCUGGAGCGGGCCAUCAUUUGCCCAUCCCUGAUCUAGAGGUUAUCAACUCGAUCAUCUACAUCUUUACAGAAAACUUGCUGCAGAAUAUACACCGUGUACUUUUCUAUAUUUUAGAUACUUUGUUGAUCAUUUUCUUUGCUUCAUCAUUUCUCCUCUUUAUUUAUACCAAGAUUUAUUUGUCAUGUAGUUUUCCUUAAAUAUAUUUGAAAGUGAGCUGGAUUAUCUCUAAGUAAAUAUGGUAACUCUGCUUAUUUGACUCAGUGUUUGGCAUUUUAUAUUGUGGAAUAACUUAUGGCCAGUGCUGAAUAGGCAAGUGCGCGCCAUUGGAUUAAAAAAAAUAGUAUGGAAUAACUGGUUUAGUAAUUACGACACUCAGUGUAAGGCAUCUGAUUUCUAAAAGAUCACGUUUCAAGGCUUCCUUUUUGCAUUUCUUGUAACUGCAGAAUCUAUAUAUACGUAGUUGUAACAAGAUCGAUGAUCCCAACUUUAAGGGAUAAUAAAACAGGGCGAAAGUAACGAUUAUUAUGAUGCUGGUGGAAUGUGAAGUAAGAAUGCAGGGAAACACAGUUAAGUCUAAAGAAUAUAGAGGGCGAAAAAUCACUUUAAUCCAUGCUAUUGGCAACAAAUUAUGUCAAAUAAUGUCCGAUAUUUACAAGCAUUAUUUAUAUGAAUAACCACCAACUGCAGCACUUGCAUCGCAAUUAAGUUAUUGUUGUAUACUUUGGAAGAUGCCUGGUAUAUCACAUACUUCUGCAAUAAUUAAGCUAAUGCUGGAGAAUUUGCGUCUCGUAAAUGAGAUCCAACAUCUUUGUUAUGCUUGUAUUGCAAUUGGUGGUUGUUCAUUUCAUCAAUUUUUGUAAAUAUCAUUUACUAUCUCAUGUAAAUAUAUGUGAUUAAAAUGACUUUUGCGGUCUUUGUGCUUAA